Molecule: non-coding RNA, 1193 nt
Organism: Ictalurus furcatus (blue catfish)
Lineage: Eukaryota; Metazoa; Chordata; Actinopteri; Siluriformes; Ictaluridae
Source: the annotation of a RefSeq genome assembly
UGACUUUAACACUUCAUGACUGAGAGCUGCUGCUCAGCAACUUCACCCACAGCAACCAUGACUUUGAUCAGCGUCUUCAUCUGCACACUGGCCCUCUGGACUCAAGGAUCCAGAGGUCAGGUGACUGUGACUCAGACUCCUUCAGUGCAAACUGUUGAUCCAGGAAAAACAGUCACCUUCAACUGUAGAACCAGUAGCAGUGUGGCUGGUGGUAACCGUCUCGCCUGGUACCUGCAGAAACCUGGAGAAGCUCCUAAACUCCUGAUCUACUGGGCUACUACUUUACAGUCAGGAACUCCAGCUCGUUUCAGUGGCAGUGGAUCUAAUACUGACUUCACUCUGACCAUCAGAGGAGUCCAGACUGAAGAUGCAGGAGAUUACUACUGUCAGAGUGAACAUUAUAUCAGUAGUAGCUGGGUGUUCACACAGUGUUAGAGCGCCGUUCAAAAACCUCGGUCAGUGAGAGUGCACAGAGAAGCACUGCUGCAGCUGGGAGCGACUGCAGGUGCUGAGGGGGAGGAUGUGAUACAGCACAAUGACACACACUGUGGACGAGAGAAAACACACCACACUAACUCACUAAUGCACACACACAUCUGUGAGAGGAGUCCACCUUUCUCUUUAUUCUGCUCUGCAUGAUUAUGUCACAGUCACACUGAUGGACACAUAAUGCAGUCAGAUAAAACCAUAAAGUUCUGACUCUACUGCUGAGACACUGAGACUCCUCUCUCAUUCUCCAGAGUCUCUGUGUGUUUCUCCAGAAGAGACUGUUAUUAUCAGCUGCAGGACCGGUGUGGAUAUUGUCCGAACCUUCAGAAACCUGGAGAAGCUCCUAAACUCCUGAAACACCAGGAAUAUCAGCAUCAGUGUGGGAUUCCACCUGGUUUCAGUGGGAGUGGAUUAUGGGACAGAAUUUGUAAAAGUCACUUGAAUAUGCAGGAGAUCAGUACUGUCAGACACAACUCAUGCUGGUGUGGUCAACAGCUGCUCAUAGCAGGGUCGCUGAUCUUCAUUUGAUCAUUUAUCCAUAAUCACUCCUUUUUGUUCAUUUUGAUCCCAAACUUUCUAUAAGAAAGAUAUAAAUUCUGUAUCUAAUACAGUUAGGGUUAGGAUUACACUGAUGUCCAAUAACGGCUUGUACUUCUUUUAAACUCCUCACCAUUACAUCGAACACAAUAAUGGACUGAGCCUAG